CCAGACUCCUACGGGAGGCAGCAGUGGGGAAUAUUGCACAAUGGGGGAAACCCUGAUGCAGCAACGCCGCGUGAGUGAAGAAGUAUUUCGGUAUGUAAAGCUCUAUCAGCAGGGAAGAAAAUGACGGUACCUGAGUAAGAAGCCCCGGCUAACUACGUGCCAGCAGCCGCGGUAAUACGUAGGGGGCAAGCGUUAUCCGGAUUUACUGGGUGUAAAGGGGGCGUAGACGGCGAUACAAGUCUGAAGUGAAAGCCCGGGGCUCAACCCCGGGACUGCUUUGGAAACUGUUAAGCUGGAGUGCAGGAGAGGUAAGUGGAAUUCCUAGUGUAGCGGUGAAAUGCGUAGAUAUUAGGAGGAACACCAGUGGCGAAGGCGGCUUACUGGACUGUAACUGACGUUGAGGCUCGAAAGCGUGGGGAGCAAACAGGAUUAGAUACCCCGGUAUG
RNAcentral lists this ribosomal RNA (446 nucleotides) under uncultured bacterium. RNAcentral's name for it is "bacterial SSU rRNA". It matches the Rfam family "Bacterial small subunit ribosomal RNA", at positions 331 to 793 of the family's 1533-position model. The record is from RNAcentral.